Molecule: ribosomal RNA, 405 nt
Filed under: uncultured Chloroflexota bacterium
Lineage: Bacteria; Bacillati; Chloroflexota
Description: bacterial SSU rRNA
Rfam family: Bacterial small subunit ribosomal RNA
Source: RNAcentral
UGAGGAAUAUUGCACAAUGGGCGAAAGCCUGAUGCAGCAACGCCGCGUGAGGGACGAAGGCCUUCGGGUCGUAAACCUCUUUUCUGGGGAACGAGCAAGGACGGUACCUCAGGAAUAAGUCUCGGCUAACUACGUGCCAGCAGCCGCGGUAAAACGUAGGAGGCGAGCGUUAUCCGGAUUUACUGGGCGUAAAGCGCACGCAGGCGGUUUCGUUAGUCGGAUGUGAAAGCUCCUGGCUUAACUGGGAGAGGCCAUUCGAUACUGCGAGACUUGAGGUUGGGAGAGGGGUGUGGAAUUCCCGGUGUAGUGGUGGAAUGCGUAGAUAUCGGGAGGAACACCUGUGGCGAAAGCGGCACCCUGGCCCACACCUGACGCUGAGGUGCGAAAGCGUGGGGAGCAAACAGG